This is a non-coding RNA of Rattus norvegicus (Norway rat), 69 nucleotides long. The record is from Rfam. Lineage: Eukaryota; Metazoa; Chordata; Mammalia; Rodentia; Muridae.
GGGGGUUUAGCUCAGUGGUAGAGCGCUUGCCUAGGAAGCGCAAGGCCCUGGGUUCGAUCCCCAGCUCCG